Molecule: long non-coding RNA, 653 nt
Filed under: Hordeum vulgare
Lineage: Eukaryota; Viridiplantae; Streptophyta; Magnoliopsida; Poales; Poaceae
Description: long non-coding RNA (HVUL_LNC021685)
Source: RNAcentral
AACUUUGGGUGUUAGUCUGUGUCCUGUUAUAAACUAUGAUGCCUUUCUAUCCUGAAAGUUAAAAUUCAACAAAAAAAGCUGAAAAUUAAUUUUGUUAGCAAAAUUUGAUGCCAUGUAAUUUUGUAAUCAUUUCCUGUUCCAGAAAAUUAGCCAAGCAACUAUCCGAGCCUAUUUGAAUGACUAUAGAUGGCAUUAUAGACCAGUUGAAAACUUGGAAUUCAGCUCCUCACAAGCACUAGUAUCAGAUAUUGCCAACCAGGCAUUCCUGUUAUAGCAAUUAGCAAAGCAUUAUCCUGCAAUGUGCAGUGGAACAAAUUAUCAGUAUUGGAGUUUGUUUAUGUUGUACCACCACGUUUUUACUUGCAGUACUCCCUCUGUCUCGGUUUAUAAGUCUUGCGCGUCAUUUUAGGUUGACAAUUUAACUAGCAAAAUACAUAUUAUAUUUGAUAAAAAAUAUAUAUUUAGAAACUACGUCCGCUUAAGAAUCCAAUGAUAUACUUUUGUUGACAUAUAACUCAUAUUUAGCUAGUUAAAUCGAUGAGCUAGAACUACGUGCAUGACCUAUAAACCGAGAGAGAGGGAGUAACAACUUUGAAUCUGUAGGGGGUAUUAUGUCUUGGUGUACUAAAGCGUUCUAGGCAGCAGAAAGCNNN